GACGAACGCUGGCGGCGUGCUUAACACAUGCAAGUCGAACGGAAAGGCCCUGCUUUUGUGUGGUGCUCGAGUGGCGAACGGGUGAGUCACACGUGAGUAACCUGCCCUUGACUUUGGGAUAACUUCAGGAAACUUGGGCUAAUACCGGAUAGGAGCUCCUGCUGCAUGGUGGGGGUUGGAAAGUUUCGGCGGUUGGGGAUGGACUCGCGGCUUAUCAGCUUGUUGGUGGGGUAGUGGCUUACCACGGCUUUGACGGGUAGCCGGCCUGAGAGGGUGACCGGCGACAUUGGGACUGAGAUACGGCCCAGACUCCUACGGGAGGCAGCAGGGGGGAAUAUGGCACAAUGGGCGGAAGCGUGAGGCAGCAACGCCGCGGGCGGGAUGACGGCCUUCGGGGUGUAAACCGCUUUCGCCUGUGACGAAGCGUGAGUGACGGUAAUGGGUAAAGAAGCACCGGCUAACUACGUG
RNAcentral lists this ribosomal RNA (468 nucleotides) under uncultured bacterium. RNAcentral's name for it is "partial 16S ribosomal RNA". It matches the Rfam family "Bacterial small subunit ribosomal RNA", at positions 28 to 507 of the family's 1533-position model. The record is from RNAcentral.